GACGAACGCUGGCGGCGUGCUUAACACAUGCAAGUCGAACGGUAAGGCCCUUCGGGUACACGAGUGGCGAACGGGUGAGUAACACGUGGUGAUCUGCCCUGCACUUCGGGAUAAGCCUGGGAAACUGGGUCUAAUACCGGAUAGGACUCCUGGCUUCAUGGUUGGGGUGUAAAGCUUUUGCGGUGUGGGAUGGGCCCGCGGCCUAUCAGCUUGUUGGUGGGGUAAUGGCCUACCAAAGGCGACGACGGGUAGCCGGCCUGAGAGGGUGACCGGCCACACUGGGACUGAGAUACGGCCCAGACUCCUACGGGAGGCAGCAGUGGGGAAUAUUGCACAAUGGGCGCAAGCCUGAUGCAGCGACGCCGCG
RNAcentral lists this ribosomal RNA (367 nucleotides) under uncultured bacterium. RNAcentral describes it as "bacterial SSU rRNA". It matches the Rfam family "Bacterial small subunit ribosomal RNA", at positions 28 to 401 of the family's 1533-position model. The record is from RNAcentral.